RNAcentral lists this unclassified non-coding RNA (327 nucleotides) under Hevea brasiliensis (rubber tree). The record is from RNAcentral. Lineage: Eukaryota; Viridiplantae; Streptophyta; Magnoliopsida; Malpighiales; Euphorbiaceae.
AAAGACACCACCAGAGCUAUCAGUGCAUAGUGAGGCUUUUUUGGCGAGGCAAUUUGGUCUAAAAUCACCAACAGAAUCUCUAGGAUGAUGUUUGUGAGCGCUGCUCCCCAUUCAAAAGCUACCUCACUCUCUCUUCCAAGAACUGGGCACUGGAAAAUAUUUUCAUUGACUGAUAUAGCUAAAUCUUGAAUAAUAAAAUCUCUUGAUCCAAAAUCAUCAACUCUUUUAUUUUCUUGAGGUCGGACCAAUCCUUCUUCAAUCCAAGAAAGGACUAAUUUCUCCUUUACAAAUGUAUAAUCCUUGGGAGAUUUUAUACGGUAAGCAAGG